Molecule: long non-coding RNA, 424 nt
Filed under: Elaeis guineensis (African oil palm)
Lineage: Eukaryota; Viridiplantae; Streptophyta; Magnoliopsida; Arecales; Arecaceae
Description: long non-coding RNA (EGUI_LNC017603)
Source: RNAcentral
UCUUUGGCUCUUUGCCUGCCUGGCCAGCGAGCGUCGCUGAUCGAUGGGGCUCCGGCCUUUUCCGCCUAAGUAUUCUCCGAGUUCGAGGACCCCUACUCCUCCUCCACCUCCUUAUCUCUCUCGAUGCGAUCACAAUCGAGCUAGAAAUUCGAGGAUAAGCAGCGGCCAGUGAUGAAUUCAACAGUGGCCAUCAGCGGUGGCGGACGGCGAUGGACCCUAGAGCUAUAGAACGGGUCAUUCAUUGCAGUGAGAAGGCUUGAUCAAAACAGAAGUAUGCGGAAAAUUUAAUUUUCUUCAUCUGCAAAUGAUGUGGUCUAUUUGGUAUGGGAAUAUGAUUUAUAACAUUGCCAUGUUAGUCAAUUUUCUGUUGUAUUCUUGAUGGAAUAUUUAGAGGUUACUAUUUUGAUUUCAUGCUAUGUGGGUA